GACGAACGCUGGCGGCGUGCUUAACACAUGCAAGUCGAACGGAAAGACCCUGCUUUUGUGGGGUGCUUGAGUGGCGCACGGGUGAGUAACACGCGAGUAUCCUGCCCUUGACUUUGGGAUAUCUUCAGGAAACUGGGGCUAAUAUAGGAUAGGAGCUUUUGCUGCAUGGUGGUGGUUGGAAAGUUUCGGCGGUUGGGGAUGGAAUCGCGGCUUAUCAGCUUGUUGGUGGGGUAGUGGAUGACCAAGGCUUUGACGGGUAGCCGGCCUGGGAGGGUGACCGGCCACAAGGGGACUGAGAUACGGCCCAGACGCCAACGUGAGGCAGCAGUGGGGAAUAUUGCGCAAUGGGCGGAAGCCUGAUGCAGCAACGCCGCGUGCGGAAUGACGGCCUUCGGGUGGUAAACCGCUUUCUCCUUUGACGAAGCGUUAGUGACGUUAAUGAGUAAAAAAGCACCGGCUAACUACGUG
RNAcentral lists this ribosomal RNA (468 nucleotides) under uncultured bacterium. RNAcentral describes it as "partial 16S ribosomal RNA". It matches the Rfam family "Bacterial small subunit ribosomal RNA", at positions 28 to 507 of the family's 1533-position model. The record is from RNAcentral.